CGUUAUCCUGCUUAUUACAUGGCUACUCACCAAAUAUAGUUGGGUAGAAAAUAUUUUAUGUUAGAAGAAACGUAGCUAUGUAGAAGCCAGUUGUUAAUUAUAAGUUCAGCACUCAUUAUGCCAAAAAUAUCAAACUGCAGAAUGGUGUAAAUGAGCAGUAAGAAUUAAAUAUUCCAAAGAAUCAUCCAGAAUCACUGAUUUAAUAUGGCAUUGCCAUUGUUCUGUAUAGGUUUUUUUUUUUUUGAAGUGUUUUC
Long non-coding RNA from Sinocyclocheilus anshuiensis, 254 nucleotides. RefSeq lists it as uncharacterized. Lineage: Eukaryota; Metazoa; Chordata; Actinopteri; Cypriniformes; Cyprinidae. The record is from RefSeq and is a predicted model, not a curated record. The transcript has 4 exons.